UGUUGCACUUUUUUUUUUUU
This 20-nucleotide microRNA is filed under the name Corchorus olitorius. RNAcentral describes it as "ssc-miR-36". The record is from RNAcentral. Lineage: Eukaryota; Viridiplantae; Streptophyta; Magnoliopsida; Malvales; Malvaceae.